RNAcentral lists this ribosomal RNA (460 nucleotides) under uncultured bacterium. Its description in RNAcentral is "partial 16S ribosomal RNA". It matches the Rfam family "Bacterial small subunit ribosomal RNA", at positions 338 to 795 of the family's 1533-position model. The record is from RNAcentral.
CCUACGUGAGGCAGCAGUGAGGAAUAUUGGUCAAUGGGCGCGAGCCUGAACCAGCCAAGUAGCGUGAAGGAUGACUGCCCUACGGGUUGUAAACUUCUUUUAUAAAGUAAUAAAGUGAGGCACGUGUGCCUUUUUGUAUGUACUUUAUGAAUAAGGAUCGGCUAACUCCGUGCCAGCAGCCGCGGUAAUACGGAGGAUCCGCGCGUUAUCCGGAUUUAUUGGGUUUAAAGGGAGCGUAGAUGGGUUGUUAAGUCAGUUGUGAAAGUUUGCGGCUCAACCGUAAAAUUGCAAUUGAUACUGGCAGUCUUGAGUACAGUUGAGGUAGGCGGAAUUCGUGGUGUAGCGGUGAAAUGCUUAGAUAUCACGAAGAACUCCGAUUGCGAAGGCAGCUUACUAAACUGCCACUGACAUUGAUGCUCGAAAGUGUGGGUAUCAAACAGGAUUAGAUACCCGUGUAGUC